UACGUAGGGACCAAGCGUUGUUCGGAUUUACUGGGCGUAAAGGGCGCGUAGGCGGCGUGACAAGUCACUUGUGAAAUCUCCGGGCUUAACCCGAAACUGCAUUCGAUACUGCCGUGCUUGAGGACUGGAGAGGAGACUGGAAUUUACGGUGUAGCGGUGAAAUGCGUAGAUAUCGUAAGGAAGACCAGUGGCGAAGGCGGGUCUCUGGACAGUUCCUGACGCUGAGGCACGAAGGCCAGGGGAGCAAACGGG
RNAcentral lists this ribosomal RNA (252 nucleotides) under uncultured bacterium. RNAcentral describes it as "partial 16S ribosomal RNA". It matches the Rfam family "Bacterial small subunit ribosomal RNA", at positions 524 to 776 of the family's 1533-position model. The record is from RNAcentral.